UGUAGAAGGGUAAAAAGGUAAAUUCAAAUUUGACGUCAUUAGUCGAUGUGAGACUUAUCUUACACUUCUGACUGAUAUCGAAUGAUAACACACUAGUACUGAUAACUCGUCGGAUCCAAAAUCACUGACCCAAAAUGUUUAAGCACAGUUGCUGUUAUUAGAGCCUUUGUUUCUAAUAUUAUCAUUUGAUCACAAUUUCUUUUCCAUACGAUGUAGAACUAUUGGGGCAUCACAAGCAUUAAAAGGCGGAAUAAAUAGGGAAUAAUUUAGAAUAAG
RNAcentral lists this long non-coding RNA (276 nucleotides) under Ananas comosus (pineapple). Its description in RNAcentral is "long non-coding RNA (ACOM_LNC030058)". Lineage: Eukaryota; Viridiplantae; Streptophyta; Magnoliopsida; Poales; Bromeliaceae. The record is from RNAcentral.